GACGAACGCUGGCGGCGUGCCUAAUACAUGCAAGUCGAACGCACUCUCGUUUAGAUUGAAGGAGUUUGCUCCUGAUUGAUAAACAUUUGAGUGAGUGGCGGACGGGUGAGUAACACGUGGGUAACCUGCCCUAAAGUGGGGGAUAACAUUUGGAAACAGAUGCUAAUACCGCAUAAAACCUAACACCGCAUGGUGUAGUGUUGAAAGAUGGUUUCGGCUAUCACUUUAGGCUGGACCCGCGGUGCAUUAGUUAGUUGGUGAGGUAAAGGCUCACCAAGACCGUGAUGCAUAGCCGACCUGAGAGGGUAAUCGGCCACACUGGGACUGAGACACGGCCCAGACUCCUACGGGAGGCAGCAGUAGGGAAUCUUCCACAAUGGACGAAAGUCUGAUGGAGCAACGCCGCGUGAGUGAAGAAGGUUUUCGGAUCGUAAAACUCUGUUGUUGGAGAAGAAUGUAUCUGAUAGUAACUGAUCAGGUAGUGACGGUAUCCAACCAGAAAGCCACGGCUAACUACGUG
This 520-nucleotide ribosomal RNA is filed under the name uncultured bacterium. Its description in RNAcentral is "partial 16S ribosomal RNA". It matches the Rfam family "Bacterial small subunit ribosomal RNA", at positions 28 to 507 of the family's 1533-position model. The record is from RNAcentral.